Molecule: ribosomal RNA, 529 nt
Filed under: uncultured fungus
Lineage: Eukaryota; Fungi
Description: eukaryotic LSU rRNA
Rfam family: 5.8S ribosomal RNA (bases 171-324)
Source: RNAcentral
UUCCGUAGGUGAACCUGCGGAAGGAUCAUUACCUAGAGUUGUAGGCUUUGCCUGCUAUCUCUUACCCAUGUCUUUUGAGUACCUUCGUUUCCUCGGCGGGUCCGCCCGCCGAUUGGACAAUUUAAACCAUUUGCAGUUGCAAUCAGCGUCUGAAAAAACUUAAUAGUUACAACUUUCAACAACGGAUCUCUUGGUUCUGGCAUCGAUGGAGAACGCAGCGAAAUGCGAUAAGUAGUGUGAAUUGCAGAAUUCAGUGAAUCAUCGAAUCUUUGAACGCACAUUGCGCCCCUUGGUAUUCCAUGGGGCAUGCCUGUUCGAGCGUCAUUUGUACCUUCAAGCUCUGCUUGGUGUUGGGUGUUUGUCUCGCCUCUGCGCGCAGACUCGCCUCAAAACAAUUGGCAGCCGGCGUAUUGAUUUCGGAGCGCAGUACAUCUCGCGCUUUGCACUCAUAACGACGACGUCCAAAAGUACAUUUUUACACUCUUGACCUCGGAUCAGGUAGGGAUACCCGCUGAACUUAAGCAUAUCA